RNAcentral lists this ribosomal RNA (431 nucleotides) under uncultured bacterium. Its description in RNAcentral is "bacterial SSU rRNA". It matches the Rfam family "Bacterial small subunit ribosomal RNA", at positions 958 to 1392 of the family's 1533-position model. The record is from RNAcentral.
AACGCGAAGAACCUUACCUGGGUUUGACAUACACCGGAAAGCCGUGGAGACACGGCCCCCGCAAGGUCGGUGUACAGGUGGUGCAUGGCUGUCGUCAGCUCGUGUCGUGAGAUGUUGGGUUAAGUCCCGCAACGAGCGCAACCCCCGUCGCAUGUUGCCAGCAUUUAGUUGGGGACUCAUGCGAGACUGCCGGUGACAAACCGGAGGAAGGUGGGGAUGACGUCAAGUCCUCAUGCCCCUUAUGUCUUGGGCUUCACGCAUGCUACAAUGGCCGGUACAAAGGGUUGCGAAACUGUGAGGUGGAGCGAAUCCCAAAAAGCCGGUCUCAGUUCGGAUUGGGGUCUGCAACUCGACCCCAUGAAGUCGGAGUCGCUAGUAAUCGCAGAUCAGCAAUGCUGCGGUGAAUACGUUCCCGGGCCUUGUACACACCG